GGAAGCUCCGUCAGGUGAACAAGCCUUGUGCAUGUCCAGGUAUAAAAGCAGGACGGCGCCUCGCAGCUCACCAAACACACCUGCUCCACCACAGCUCAGCCUUGCCUCAUUCCCUCACUGGACGCCAUGCGAGCACUGACCCUCUUGUUGAUGGUGGCCGUGGCUCUGACGGCGCUGGUGGUAGUACAGGCCAUGCCAGAACCCCUCCCUGAUCCAGACCCUGAGGCCCUCCCAAACCCAGAGGCGUUCCCUGACCCAGAGGCCUUCCCUAAUCACGGCAGGCGAUAUGGCGGCCGAUACGGUAGCCAUGGACAUCGAUACGGCAGCCGUUACCACUAGCCCCCUUACCGCCGCCCACACAGCCACGUCCACUACACUACCUACCACUGAAGACCACACGAGACAGACCAGGACACCGGAAUAAGCAAGCAUUGAAUUAUUAAGGACUCUCCUACACCACAAAACUUCAGGCAUCUUCACCGCCUCCACCAUUCCUCUUAAAUAUGAUUCUAUGAACCACAAAAAAAAAUAAUAAAUAAAUAAAUAAAUAAAUAAAUAAAUAAAUAAACUAAAUCA
This is a long non-coding RNA of Scylla paramamosain (green mud crab), 576 nucleotides long. RefSeq lists it as uncharacterized. The transcript has 2 exons. The record is from RefSeq and is a predicted model, not a curated record. NCBI's taxonomy places the organism in Eukaryota, Metazoa, Arthropoda, Malacostraca, Decapoda, Portunidae.